RNAcentral lists this ribosomal RNA (149 nucleotides) under Proteus mirabilis. Its description in RNAcentral is "partial 23S ribosomal RNA". The stretch from base 1 to 131 matches the Rfam family "Bacterial large subunit ribosomal RNA", at positions 2800 to 2925 of the family's 2925-position model. Lineage: Bacteria; Pseudomonadati; Pseudomonadota; Gammaproteobacteria; Enterobacterales; Morganellaceae. The record is from RNAcentral.
CGAGAUGAGUCUUCCCUGUCGCUUUAAGCGACCUAAAGGAACGUUUAAGACUAAGACGUUGAUAGGCUGGGUGUGUAAGCGUAGCGAUACGUUGAGCUAACCAGUACUAAUGAACCGUGAGGCUUAACCUGACAACACCGAAGGUGUUU